RNAcentral lists this ribosomal RNA (274 nucleotides) under uncultured bacterium. RNAcentral describes it as "partial 16S ribosomal RNA". It matches the Rfam family "Bacterial small subunit ribosomal RNA", at positions 523 to 796 of the family's 1533-position model. The record is from RNAcentral.
AUACGGAGGGUGCAAGCGUUAUUCGGAAUCACUGGGCGUAAAGGACGCGUAGGCGGGUUGGCAAGUCAGAUGUGAAAUCCUACAGCUUGACUGUAGAACUGCAUUUGAAACUGCUAACCUAGAGUAUGGGAGGGGGAGAUGGAAUUAGUGGUGUAGGGGUAAAAUCCGUAGAUAUCACUAGGAAUACCGAAAGCGAAGGCGAUCUCCUGGAACAUAACUGACGCUAAGGCGUGAAAGCGUGGGGAGCAAACAGGAUUAGAAACCCUAGUAGUCC